This 468-nucleotide ribosomal RNA is filed under the name uncultured bacterium. RNAcentral describes it as "partial 16S ribosomal RNA". It matches the Rfam family "Bacterial small subunit ribosomal RNA", at positions 28 to 507 of the family's 1533-position model. The record is from RNAcentral.
GACGAACGCUGGCGGCGUGCCUAACACAUGCAAGUCGAACGGCAACGCACUGAUUUUGUGCUGUUCUGGAGUGCCGAACGCGGGCGUGUCACGUGUAUAUCCUACCCUUCACUUUGGGGUAACUUCAGGUAACUGGAGCUACUCUCAUACAGCAGACCCUGUUCCAUGGUGGGGGUUGGAUCGUUUCGGCGGUUGCGGAUGGACGGGCGGCUUAUGAGCUUGUUGGUGGGGGGGUGGAUUACCCAGGCUUUGACGGGUAGCCGGCCUGAGAGGGUGACCGGCCACAUUGGGACUGAGGUACGGACCAGAGGGCUACGGGAGGCAGGAGGGGGGAACAUUGCACAAUGGGCGGAAGCCUGAUGCAGCAACGCCGGGUGCGGGAUGACGGUUUUCGGGUAGUAAACAGCAUUAGGCUGUGACGAAGCGUGAGUGACGGUAACGGGUAAAGAAGCACCGGCUAACUACGUG